UAAAUCACAUUGGAAUUGAGGGAAGACUUUUGGGACCACGUCCUCAUCCGCCGCGCAAUACACGACGUCCACAGCCACGCCCCUGUGGUACAAGACCGCUUGGCCGCAAAUAACACCUGGACACGAGGAACAACGGCAAGAAGAAUUCUGCAAGAAUCUCCGUGAAGCGCACUCCAAGUGGAAAUGAAGAAAAUCAAACCUGAACAAACACACUAAACACGCUACAGAUUAUGCGAAGAAUGGUUCACACGUCUUGGUACCCAGUCCAGGAAAACUGCCUAUUAGUGCUCACCUAACCUAACUAUGAGAUACUGUGGGCCCGUCCCCUUUGCUUGCAUAAUGUAUACAACAAAAAUAUUUCCUCAAUAUCUCUAGACAUAUACAAGCUAAGAUUGUUUAAAUUAUUCAGAGACAUUGCUAUUAACAAGCAUGCGAUUGCCAUCCGUCGCAGCUUGUGCUGGUAAUAAAUUUUGUUUGUUUUUGUUUA
Dermacentor andersoni is the source of this 487-nucleotide non-coding RNA. Lineage: Eukaryota; Metazoa; Arthropoda; Arachnida; Ixodida; Ixodidae. The record is from RefSeq and is a predicted model, not a curated record.